GAAUGCAUGGGCUCGAUUCCAUGGUAGCGAGUAUGGAGUUAUACACAAUGUUUUGAUCUGACAGAGAAAGAAAUGAUAGCAUAAAAGCAGUAACAGAGAAAAGAUAUAUUCAUCUUUUGUUUCACAGAUCUAUUCAUGCAUGUCAACCACAAAUUACAUCACUGCGACUCAAAACUCUACGAGGUCGAUGCAGAGCCACGAUGUUUUCCGCACGUCGCCAUCUGGAUGUAACACAGUUCCAUACUUAUGCUAAUUAAUUAAAGCUCCUUGUGUUUGGCUGUUUCCAUAGGGCCAUACUGUUUACCUCAAGAGGGAGGAAAAUGGUCCCAAAACAGAGAAAAGUAACCCUCAGCACAUCAAAAUGAUCACAUCUCGUCCACUAGGUUGAUCAGACUACAGUCAAGACCAUGCUUAUGUUGUAACUGCAGAAUGCACACCCAGAUGGACUGUUUGUCACCAGAGAUUUCAACCAUGCGAAUCUCAGCAGACCGCUCAUCAGAUGCUCCAAACCAGUUGAAAACCUGGCCAGAAAAAGCCAUCUCUGCUCUUCAGGACUGUUUUGAGAGAACUGACUGGGACAUGUUUAGGAAGGCUUCAACCAAUAGUGACUGCACUAACUUAGAGGACCAUCAGUGACCAGCUACAUCAACAAACGCAUUGAUGAUGUUACUAUCUCCAAGACCAUCACCACUCGCCCCAACCAGAAGCUGUGGAUUAUUGCAGAGGUGCGUGCACUACUGAGGAUCCAAGAUGCUGCCUUCAGAGCAGGUGACAGAGCAGCCCUAAGAGCAGUGAGGGCCAAACUGUCUUGGGCCAUCAGAGCAGCAAAGCGCGCACAUGCCCAGAGAAUCCUCAGCUAUUUCCAGGACUGUGGCAACACAUGAUGUAUGUGGCAGGGCAUCCAGGCCAUCAUGAACUACAGGACACCACCACCUGCCUGGGACAAUGAUGCCUCCCUUCCAGAUGCGCUGAACAGCUUCUAUGCACAGUUUGAGGUGCAGAACAGCGUGGCAGUGAGGAAGACCAUCCCUCCUUCCAAUGACCAGGUGCUGUGUCUGAGCACGGCCGAUGUGAGGAAAACUAUGCAGAGUCAACCCACGGAAGGCUGCUGGACCAGACAUCAUCCCCGGUAAAGUGCUCAGAGGAUGUGCGGACCAGCUGGCAGACGUUCUCACUGACAUCUUCAACAUCUCCCUGAGCAACGCCAUCAUCCCAAAGUGCUUCAAGACCACUACCAUUGUCCCCAUACCGAAGAAGUCUUCAGUGUCCUACCUCAAUGACUACCAUCCUGUUGCACUCACACUCAUCAUUAUGAAGUGCUUCGAGAGGCUCGACAUGAGGCAUAUAAAGACCCUGCUGCCUCCCUCACUGGACCCCCUGCAGUUCGUGUAUUGCCAUAACUGCUCAACAGAUGAUGCCAUAGCCACCACCCUUCAUCUAGCCCUUAGCCACCUGGACAAGAAGGACACAUACAUAUGAAUGCUGUUCAUAGACUUCAGUUCAGCAUUCAACACAAUCAUCCCUCAGCAGCUAAUUGGAAAGCUGAGCCUGCUGGGCUUGAACACCUCCCUCUGCAACUGGAUCCUGGAUUUUCUGACUGAGAGGCCUCAGUCAGUCUGGCUUGGGAGCAGAACUUCCAGCACCACCAUGCUGAGUACUGGGGCCCCUCAGGGCUGUGUGCUCUGUUCACUCUGCUGACUCAUGACUGCAGCAAUUCACAGUUUGAACCACAUCAUCAAGUUUGCUGAUGACACAACAAUGGUGGAUCUCAUCAGUAAGAACGAUGAGUCAGCAUACAGAGAGGAGGUGCAACGGCUAUUGGACUGGUGCAGAGUCAACAACCUGUCUCUGAAUGUGGACAAAACAAAAGAGAUGGUUGUUGACUUCAGAAGAACACAGAGUGACCACUCUCCGCUGUACAUCGACGGCUCACUCACAGAGAACGUCAAGAGCACCAAGUUCCUUGGUGUUCAUCUGGCAGAAAACCUCACCUCUUCCCUCAACACCAGCUCCAUAGCCAAGAAAGCCCAGCAGCAUCUCUACUUCCUAUAGAGGCUGAGGAAACCCAUCUCCCAUCCUCACAAUAUUCUACAGAGGGACUAUGGAGAGCAUCCUGAGCAGCUGCAUCACGGUCUGGUUUGGGAAUUGCACCAUCUUGGAUCGCAAGACCCUACAGCUGAUAGUGAGGACAGUUGAGAAGACCAUUGGAGUCUCUCUUCCCUCCAUCAUGGACAUUUACACAACAUGCUGCAUCUGGAAAGCCACCAGCAUUGUGGUUGACCCCAUACACCCCUCACACAAUCUCUUUACCCUCCUGCCAUCUGGAAAAAGGUACCGAAGCAUUCGGGCCUUCACUGCCAGACUCUAACAGUUUCUUUCCACAUGCCAUCAGACUCCUCAACUCUGAGGGACUGGACUGAUACUCACUGACUGUUGAACACACCAUUCAUACUGCAGUCUUUGCAUAGUGGACAAUAAUGCACUAUUGCUUUACAAUGUUUACAAUGUCUCUCACACACAUACAAGGUUUACAUUUAUUUAUUCCCUUUUCAUAUACUACCUCAACAUGCACACUCUACUCUGCACCUUAUGUUGUUUGCGUCUGCACUUUCCUUUUGUUUGUGUUGUUUAUUGUCUGCAGUGUUGCACUUGUGUGUUGUACGUAGAUUGUAGUCCUGUGAUGUUUAAUGUAGCACCAUGGUCCUGGAGAAAUGUUUUGUUUUAACUGUGUACUAUACCAACUGUAUAUGGUUGAAAUGACAAAUAAAAGAACCUUAAUCUUAAAUUUGAAGAAAGCGUUUGAUACAAUUGAUCAUGAAAUUUUACUACAAAAAUUGGAAAGGUAUGGGAUUAGAGGGGUAGGGCUAAAUUGGUUAAAAAGCUACAAUGAAAAUAGACAGCAAUUUGUUCAGAUGGGUGCUAUUAAGUCUACUCUCUUAGACAUCACAUGUGGUGUACCACAAGGAUCAAUUCUUGGACCAAAAUUAUUUAUAUUGUAUAUCAAUAAAGUGCAAUAUCUCUCCUGCCG
Molecule: long non-coding RNA, 3028 nt
Organism: Neoarius graeffei (lesser salmon catfish)
Lineage: Eukaryota; Metazoa; Chordata; Actinopteri; Siluriformes; Ariidae
Exons: 3
Source: RefSeq, a predicted model, not a curated record